This is a long non-coding RNA of Patella vulgata (common limpet), 2661 nucleotides long. RefSeq lists it as uncharacterized. Lineage: Eukaryota; Metazoa; Mollusca; Gastropoda; Patellidae. The record is from RefSeq and is a predicted model, not a curated record. The transcript is spliced from 3 exons.
CGUCUGAAUUGAGGCAACGAAAUUGUAAUGAAUUCUUUUACGGCAACUUGUUCUUUCGUUGUAGUGAUUUUAUAAACUAGCUCUCUGAAAAUUAAUUAAGUGUUUUAUUUGAUAAAAUUUAAAAAUAAAACGUCUGUUUACGGUAAUUAUUUUAAUAUAAAGAAUGAUUUUCUCUCAUAAAAUCGUUGCGAUAUCCAGAUUGAUUUUUUGAUAUGAAUUCAGCUUAAUUGACAACCACAUCGAUUGAAAACAGCGCAGUGGACCCUUACGGCGAGACCCUGGAUCCAUUCACUUGAUUUGAUAUUUGUUGUUCAUGUCUUACAAUGUCUGUGUAGUUUGUCUUGUUCGAAGGUUUGUCUUUACUAUCGGAACACAAAAAACUGGAAUAUCACAACAAUGCAUUUCGUGCAUCCAACAUGUGUGACUCUAAUAUUUGUGUUCUGUAUACAAAAUAUUUUAAGUGAAUCACGGGUGAGGAACUACGAUGCUGUGCGAUAUGCUCCUAUGGAAGGUCUAAUGCCUCCCGUCAACCCAACAUUGGGAAUAACUCGGGAAGUCCAGUGUUACAUGUUGUGCUUGAAGGACGUCACUUGUGCUGCCUUCUCCUACAGUAAAUUGUUAUCGUUCUGCAUGUUGAUGGGGGAGAAAGCCACCGAUGACAUUAUAGCAAUUAGUAGCCCAAUGUCACAUUUUUACCACUUUACUGUCAAAGAGCUUGUGGUUUCCAAAAAUGUAUUAUUGCCACAAGGCUACAGAUGGCACGAUGAUCUUGAUCUGGCUUUGAGAUUCCAUUAUGAAAGCCAUAAAACACGUGACCAAGCCCUUGACGUAUGCACUGUGGAGGGUGGCAUCUUUGUUACCAUAGAUACUAAUGACAAGAUGGCGACUGUUUUAAAUUUACUCAAUACAAAUUCAAAAUUGAUGAGUGGUCCAGACAAUUUUUAUGUAGCGCCUACCAAUGCAACCAGUACAGCCCCAGACGGAAAAUGUGAUGUCUUAAAUCGUGGUGGAGAUUUUCAACAGGUCGACUGUAAUACACAGUUACCGUUUAUUUGUGAGAAAUCCAACAUAUGAUUAUAAUAUCGCCUAUAAUAGUUCACCCCGCGUUAAAUACUUAUAUCAACAGUUUAAGUUACGUGGUCUGCAACCGAGGCACCGCUUCAAUAAAAGUUUGUUAGCUAUGUGAAUCGCCCGUAUUAGAGGUGAAAUCAACUACUUCAAUGCACAUUAAUCCCAUUCCGUUCCCAUCCCUGGGGAUACAUUAAGUGUCAAAUUAAUUGAUUCAUUAAAACUACUUUGAACUUUUGAUUUAUUUUUAAUAUUCUAAUUAUUGGGGGGUGGGGGUGACCGAAUUGUUAGCGCGUACGCGUUGUGUCAUGUGCGCGUUGUAUCAUAAGGUCUGUCAUUGAGUCAACUGGUAUGGUUUCGAUUCCCAGGUUGUACGUGACAAGGAGUAGGGUCGCCUGUCCAACCUCGUGGAUUUUCUCCGGAUCCUCCGGUUUCCUCCCACUGCUAAAGACCCCUACGCGCACGCGAAUUAUUGAAAUAAAAUUAAACCAUAUGUUAGUCCCGAAAUGACUUAGUCUGUGUCGAGUGGAGGUUAAACCCCAUUUCUCUCUCUCUUUUUCUCUCAUCCAGCAUUAUUUUGAAAUACUAGCGACAGACAUCGCUGAUGGAGAAUGCGAUUAUAUAACCCCCCGCGACUUGGGUGCAACUUCGGAAUGGAAUGGUCCAUCACCAUUGUAUCUCACAAGGCACGAUGGCGCCAUUAACCAAGAAAAUGGAGGCGGUUAUAUUUCCUACUCGCUGCUCUAUUUUCCCGUUAUGCUACACUCUCAUUCACGAAUGGCUUUUCUGGGAGGUCUCCUGGGAAAUACUUGUCUGCGAAAUCACCUCAGAUGAAAGCGGACGCGUAACUUAUAUCAGCUGAAAUGAAUCGCACAAAACUAAUGUUCAUCACAUUAACGUAGCUAUAACUUUAAGUCAGUCGUUCUUAUGUCAAUAUAUUACUUGUGAAUGUAAGAGAAAGAGAGAAAUGGGGUUUAACGUCCACUCGACACAAACUAGGUCAUUUCGGGACUAACAUAUGGUUUAAUCUUAUUUCAUUAAUUCGCUUUCGCGUAGGGGUCUUUAGUAGUGGAGGAAACCGGAGUACCCAGAGAAAACCCACGAGGUUGGACAGGCGACCACUUGUGAAUGUAAUGUAAUAUAAUGAAAUGAAUGGGGUUUAACGUCCUACUGUUCUGCUCCGACGGGCAUACGCCAUACAGUGUGAUAUGAGGGAAAUUUUGCCCGGACAACGGCACUAUGGCCUACUCUUAUAUUGAAUUCCAACUGUCAAGGGAUCUUUUACGUGCACGCCAAUGUGUACACGGGACAUCAGUUUGUCGUCCCAUCCGAACGACUAGACAGCUGUCCUUGUUAGGCCCACCGUCCUGCAUCACUGACAAGGGGGAACCAUACCGGAAAAUCUGGAUGAACUUUCUCGGCCAAUGCAGGGAUCGAAAAUCCGAGCUCCUUGCAUCCAUGGUUCAGGCUCACGCAAGGCCUUGAUUUAUCGUAGAUGCAUCAUAUAGUGAGUUAUAAUGUGAUCAGGUUUAAUUGAUAUACUGUAAAUAUUGUUGGGUUUUUGUCAUAAUAUUUAGAAUUAAAUAAAAGCUG